ACGAAGGGGGCAAGCGUUGUUCGGAAUUACUGGGCGUAAAGGGCGCGUAGGCGGCUUACCAAGUCAGGCGUGAAAUUCCCGGGCUCAACCUGGGGGCUGCGCUUGAUACUGGUGGGCUCGAAUCCGGGAGAGGGAUGUGGAAUUCCAGGUGUAGCGGUGAAAUGCGUAGAUAUCUGGAGGAACACCGGUGGCGAAGGCGGCAUCCUGGACCGGUAUUGACGCUGAUGCGCGAAAGCCAGGGGAGCAAACGGGA
Molecule: ribosomal RNA, 253 nt
Filed under: uncultured prokaryote
Description: partial 16S ribosomal RNA
Rfam family: Bacterial small subunit ribosomal RNA
Source: RNAcentral